GGAAGGCAGCAGGCGCGCAAAUUAUCCACUCCCGGCACGGGGAGAUAGUGACGAAAAAUAACAAUACGGGACUCUUUUGAGACCCCGUAAUUGGAAUGAGUACACUCUAAAUCCUUUAACGAGGACCCAUUGGAGGGCAAGUCUGGUGCCAGCAGCUGCGGUAAUUCCAGCUCCAAUAGCGUAUAUUAAAGUUGUUGCGGUUAAAAAGCUCGUAGUUGGAUCUCAGAUCGAGUCGAAUGGUCCGCCUACCGGUGGUUACUGUUUGUGCUCAUCAUUCCGCCGGUUUCCUUUGAUGAUCUUUACCGGUUGUCUUGGGUGACCGGCAAGUUUACUUUGAAAAAAUUAGGGUGCUCAAAGCGGGCGUGACGCCUGAAUAAUGGUGCAUGGAAUAAUGGAAUAGGACCUCGGUUCUAUUUUGUUGGUUUUCGGAACACGAGGUAAUGAUUAAGAGGGACAGACGGGGGCAUUCGUAUUGCGACGCUAGAGGUGAAAUUCUUGGACCGUCGCAAGACGAACUACUGCGAAAGCAUUUGCCAAGAAUGUUUCCAUUAAUCAAGAACGAAAGUUAGAGGUUCGAAGGCGAUCAGAUACCGCCCUAGUUCUAACCAUAAACGAUGCCAGCCAGCGAUCCGGCUGUGUUCCUCAAAUGACACGCCGGGCAGCUUCCGGGAAGCCAAAGCUUUUGGGUUCC
RNAcentral lists this ribosomal RNA (691 nucleotides) under Deliochus sp. E TL-2013. Its description in RNAcentral is "SSU rRNA". It matches the Rfam family "Eukaryotic small subunit ribosomal RNA", at positions 420 to 1115 of the family's 1831-position model. Lineage: Eukaryota; Metazoa; Arthropoda; Arachnida; Araneae; Araneidae. The record is from RNAcentral.